GGGCCUUACCCCGCCAGGCGCCGGAGUCCACGCUCCACCGCCGCUGAGGGGCGUUCGGGCGCCACCGAGCAGCCCAAAUUGAAACCCCGAGAGGCUCGGGACUAAAGCUGAAGGGGCAGGUAGAGGGGCCGCCCGGCGGUCCCAGACCAUCCUAGCAAAUCUGGGGCGAGGGAAGGGUUGUCAGUUGGCCGAUUGGGAGCGGCUUCGGGAGCGAAGGAGCUGCUUUUCGGCGAGGCCCCUCGGGAGUGAAGGUUCCUCGAAUCAAGCGUAAACUGGGGCCCCCUCUGGGAUGGUGUAAACUUAUUCAGCUUCAAAUGCAGCCCAGUAUCCUGCCCUAAGUUCCAGAGGACCAUUUUCCACAUGAAAAGUCUUACGGAUAGACAAACUUCCAUUCAAGCCAAUGUCAAGUUUUCAUUGCAAGAAAGUAGCAGCCGUGUUUAAGGGCUUGUUUCUGGCUAUGUUAAAGGACCAUCCUCUGAGGAAAGCAGAGGAGAGGAACUCCAUUAUCCUUACAGUGAAACGCAACCACUGCAGAAAAACUCCACUGAGUUCGCUCCAAAUGCUCAUCUUCUUCUUCGGCCCUGGAUGUCAGACAAACAGGACAAACAGGAAACAAAAUUAUUUUUCUUCGUGGAGGGCAGAGCAGCACUCCCCCGUCGCCCAGUAUUUGGAUCCCCAGCGGGAAUGGGGAGCACCAGGCCAGUGGGAGGCUGCCCCGGCCCUCCCGCGACCUCUGGAUUGAACUUUCCGCACACUUCUCGGCCCCUCGGCAGGUGGCCCAGCCUCGACCCGACCCCACUGCCCACUCACUGCUUCUCCUGCGCGUCCAGGUCCCUGACGAGCGCAUCGCGCUUGUUCACCAGGGCCACCAGCUCAUCUAGCAGAAGCUGUUCGCGUCGCUUCUGGGCCUCGGUCUUCUGCCAGUCUGCAGAAGACGGGAGGCUAGUUACCCACCGGCAGGGCCUCCGAACACCCGGCCCCCCGCCCUCCCCUUCCCGCCUUUUCCAGUUUCCUUAUAUUUCUCAGCAAACCACAUUAUAGAGCCACUAGCUAGUGUUUUCUGGGGAGUUUGGCUGUUGUGGUGAAGGCUUCCUCGCUAAAAGUCUACUUCCUAAACAGGUCCUGUGAAUGGAGAUGGCUGCAGCAGUGUUGGAACCUGCUUAGAACCAGGUGUGAACUGGUGGCUAGCCUGAGGUGCGCACCUGAAUCCAGCCAAAGUGGGGGAGGGGAGCUAGAGGCCCAGAAGAGGUUGGCCCAGGGGUUGGUAGUGGGGGAAGUGGGUAAAUGAGGAGGCGGGAAACAGUGAUGGGCGAUAAAAUCAUUCUGAAAAGGCUAGAGAAUCUGCCUGAGAACCUAUCCUCCUCCCCCACCCCCACUCUCACCCCAAACAGCCCAUUCUUCGCUAAUUUCCUCUUCGCUCUAUUUUAGCAGUUGGAUGUAUCUCACACUGGGCGCCAUAUGCUUCACAAUAACUUUAAAAGUAGUGAAUCGGCUAAUUAGCAUUUUUCUUUGAAGUAAAAAAUAAAUUUGCUCUGCAAUAUUACACUGCAGCUCUCGAUCGCAUCACAGCCAGUUUUCUUUUGGAGACGUUUGCUGGGUGGUUUCAAAUCAAAGCACUUUUGCAAAGGAAAAAUUACAUAUUUCUUUCUGAAACCCUAUGUUAAAGGUUGGAAAACCCGAUGGGCAGUGCUCUUUCCAUGGAUGGGGGGCGUUUUUUUUUUUUUUUUUUGAAGGUUUUAGACCCCAAUAAUAUAUUUCCUAAUCUUUGCUGGUCUGAUGAUUUCCUUAAGAUGAGCAGCAGUUUCAUUUAAUAGAAACAGGACCAAAUCGAACAUUUAAAACACUUUUGAAACCAAAGCCAACUGCUCUCUGGCCAGACUGUAAGGGCUUGUAGCUGUCAAUCAACCCCCAGUCUACCCCGCCUCCCUCAUUAGGAAGGUAAACAAUGAAAAGAAGAAGUAGAUGAUGAGGCAGAUAGCAGAACAAAUGAGGACCUAGAGGGAAACAGGACACCAGCUUAAAAAAA
Molecule: long non-coding RNA, 2026 nt
Filed under: Homo sapiens (human)
Lineage: Eukaryota; Metazoa; Chordata; Mammalia; Primates; Hominidae
Description: non-protein coding lnc-WDPCP-1:6
Source: RNAcentral